GCCUCCAGCCAGAUGGGAAUGAACGUACCCGAUCCCAUCUGAUCUCAGAAGCUUAUUACACUCCCAGCAGGGGUGGUGCAGGCA
This 84-nucleotide ribosomal RNA is filed under the name Crocodylus porosus (Australian saltwater crocodile). The record is from RNAcentral. Lineage: Eukaryota; Metazoa; Chordata; Crocodylia; Crocodylidae.